GUCUCGCUCUGUCGCCCAGGCUGGAGAGCAGUGGCACCAUCUUACUGAAACCUCUGCCUCCCGGGCUCAAGCAGUCCUCCCACCUCAGCCUCCCAAGUAGCUGGGACUACAGGCACACACUACCACGCCCAACUAAUUUUUUUAUUUUUUUUGUAGAGACAGGGUUUCACCAUGUUGCCCAGGCUGGUCUCAAACUCCCAGGCUCAAGCAAUUUGCUGGCCUCGGCCUCCCAAAGUGCUGAGAUUACAGGCAUGAGCCACUGCACCUGGCCUUACCUUAUGGCUUUUCAAAAUCAGGUCAUGGCCAAAAAUCAGUUUUAAAACUAAAGAGUUGGGAGUUUCCUUGGUUAUCUCCAAUCUCAUCUCACUUCUAACUGAUGGCAGGAACGGGGGUCUGCCCUGACCCAGGGUCCUCCCAUUUAGGACCGUCUUGGAUCCGUCUCCUUAAGUCUUGGCCUAGCCUUCUCCUUAAGAUUUUGAUGACACAAUCAUUGGUUUCCCUGCAGCAGUCAGAUGUGGCUUCCCUUUUACAGAACAGUCAGGUAGGGUGCCCAGCUGGUGUUCUGGCCUCCACGGGCAGGCAGCAGGGAGGGUUUCCAGGUGGCCCAGGGCUUAUCACAGCUUCACUCCUCAGACCAUCAACAAAUGCCUGAGAUGACACAUUUCAUUGGCAUUUCUUCUCUCUUAAGUCUUCUGUAGCACUUCCCAGUUUACAAAGCACCUCCUCCGCAGGCUUUCUCCAGCUACACAACUUUAGAUCAAGUCACAGGAACCUGAAGGACACCACAGGUGCUUCCAGCAAGGGCAUCUGGAAGGCCUGUGGUCCGCGGUGGCUCAGGAAGGUAAGUGCGUUCUGACACCCACUAGCCUGCUCACCUGGGCCUUCCUAGCCCAGGUUCCUCACCUGUGAACAAGGACAGUGGGAGCAGUUCCUUACAGGACUCUAAUGAGAGCUGUUGAGGAGAUACAUCCCUAGCAAGGCAGAGUCCUCUCCACAAAACAGAAAAGGAAGAAGGCAGUUUCGUUAAUGACUAAGCAUAUCUAACUACAGUGUGUUGCAGCUCACCUGUGAAGAGAGCACACACAGACAGAAAACCCAGCAACUUUUUUUUUUUUUUUUGAGAUGGAGUCUCACUCUGUCACCCAGGCUGGAGUGCAGUGGCAUGAUCUUGGCUCACUGCAAGCUCCGCCUCCCGGGUUCACACCACUCUCCUGCCUCAGCCUCCCAAUUACCUGGGACUACAGGUGCCCGCCACCACGCCCAGCUAAUUUUUUGUAUUUUUAGUAGAGAUGGG
This 1294-nucleotide long non-coding RNA is filed under the name Homo sapiens (human). RNAcentral's name for it is "HSALNT0039792". The record is from RNAcentral. Lineage: Eukaryota; Metazoa; Chordata; Mammalia; Primates; Hominidae.